This 72-nucleotide transfer RNA is filed under the name Bos taurus (domestic cattle). It matches the Rfam family "tRNA". Rfam says of the family: Transfer RNA (tRNA) molecules are approximately 80 nucleotides in length. Their secondary structure includes four short double-helical elements and three loops (D, anti-codon, and T loops). Lineage: Eukaryota; Metazoa; Chordata; Mammalia; Artiodactyla; Bovidae. RNAcentral also lists the same sequence under 5 other names. The record is from Rfam by way of RNAcentral.
UCCCUGGUCACUCAGAUAGUAAAGAAUCUGCCUUCAGUGCAGGAGACCUGGGUUCAAUCCCUAGUUGGGGAU